RNAcentral lists this unclassified non-coding RNA (2176 nucleotides) under Hevea brasiliensis (rubber tree). The record is from RNAcentral. Lineage: Eukaryota; Viridiplantae; Streptophyta; Magnoliopsida; Malpighiales; Euphorbiaceae.
UUUUUUUUUUUUUUUUGGAAAAAAUACAAAGAAAGGAAAUUAAGGAGUGAAAAGCAAGAAAUGUAAAUGUAAGCAUCUUUCCCUAGUUUCAGCACAUUAAUAGCUCCUUCUAAACUUUCCUCAACCAGAAUGGGAGCAAGAUUAAGACAAUAAGUAAGAGAACAGCCUCCUUAAAAAAGUAGGAAUGACAAAAAAACAUGUUAAUUGACCAAAUGUAUAGUCGCAAAAUAAUGUAGCUAGCAUGUAAAGACAAAAAUAAGAAUGUUGAAUUAACCUGUUUAUGAAAUUUCUAACCAAAUUGGAAUUCAAUGAAAAUAUGAACUCGUUUUCAGAUUUAAGACAUAAGUAUGAAGAGAACAAAUAAGCUGACUCAGAACAAAUAAGUUGACUCAGACAUAAGCAUCGGCACAUACAAUAGAAAGUGGAGGGGCAAACUUACAGCACCUUUUAAUCCAAAAGUUGUUAAAUGAAAAUGAAUGAAGAUUAUCAAAGGUCAUUUAAAUUCUAGGUCUUUUAAAGUAAACACAAAUGGAUUUAUUUGAAAUUUAGAGCUAAUACCAAUGUACAUCCCUGGAACCAGAAUUUGUUGAAAUUCAGCACACAAUUACCACUAUGGCCAGUAAAAAUGGCUCAUCAAGUUGAGAAACAGCAUCAAUUAGAAGUGAAACCUCCUUCAUCUGAGGAGCAGCCUUAUGAAUAACAUUAAUGCAUUCAAAUAAUAUUGAUCUCUCUGUUUCUAUGAGCUGUUUUUCUCUGUCCUCCAAUUUAACAAAGCCUGCCACCCUCUUUUUCCCAUUAGUACCAUUUUCUACAUCUGAUGGUUUGAGCUUAUUGAGGCUUUCAGGCUCAUUUUCUGUUUUUUUCUCCACUGCACUUGCAGUGUUGAAAAAUUGGCUAAAAGAUUCAUCAUUGAACAACCUCAAAUCUUCUAACGACAUAACUAAACCACCAGCACCAGAUUUUAGCAAUUGCGAUCCCUCCAUAAUUGACGUACCCACUCUAUGUGAAGCAUAAAUAACAAAGAUUGGAAUUUUCACAUCCGCAAAUCCAGAGAACAUUUUUUCAUCAAAAUAUUUAUCUUGUUCAAGACCAUAUAUAAGGAAAUCAGCACCUUCAGAAUUAGAUGCAUUUAAGGCAGCCCUAGAAUUCUGCACAUUUCUAGCUACCAAUGGGAGAACUAUAGAUUCAGAUUUGGAAUCCAUCAUCAUGUUUCUUGCCACAAUGGCAGGAAGACGAGUGUGUUAUAUGAGCUAGUUCACAAGUCUAUUCAACAAGCAGCUCACUAGUUAAGAAAACGAGUCAAGCCAAGUUGAGUUUUGUCCAGCCAAGCCUCAAACCUCGAGCGGAAACUCAGCUCAUCUAAACCAUUGAAAGCUCAGGAAAGCAAAAUACUUCUCCAUAAAAGUCAAACAGCUAACGACAAUAAGCCACAGAUAAAACUAAUAUAGUUGGAACUUAAUAGAGGAUGAAUUAAGCAAACCUUGAUCGGAGAGCACAACCCCACUAGCAUUAACAGCAGCAGCGAUAUCAACGCGCUCUCCAAUCAACAAACGCGCACGAUCCCUCACAACCGACUUCAACAAACAAGCAGCCUCGUACAGUGUCUUCCCACUGCCAUCACCGCCAUUGAGGACCACGAUUCCAACCCACUUAGACACGGCCUUAUCAAUGAAAUCCAAGGCAUCAUCGCCACUCAAAACGUCAUCGGGGACAAGCUGGAGGACAAUGUUGGGGACUUUGAUUUCGGGCCGCUUGUAACCCCCAGGAAAAAGCGUCCUUGGCUGCUGCUGCUGCUGUGUUGGGAAGUCCUUAUCGAUUGAUUGUUGAAAGGGGUUGUUGGCGAUUGAGAGGAUAGGGAAAUGAUGGGUUCGGUGCGAUGGGGAUUUGAAGCGAGGGAGACGGGUGAAGAAGGGAAGGGAAUGGGAUAGGAAACGACAGGAAGUGGACACGUGGAGGGGGAGAAAGGGUGUCAUGGAGAAGGAGGUGAAGAGUAUAAAACUCUUCUAGACCUCUGGCUACAGAGGGAUUGCAAGGACUGAGAAGAAGAGUAAAGGGGCUUUUAUCAAUUAUCUGCAGCUAAUAUUUGCGCAGCUAGUGUUAUCCUCUUAUCCGUACGCUAGCCGCCUAAGCGUUAUCAUCUUAUCCUUUGUGAUUUGUGGGCUGGGAAAAAGAAAAG